AUCCCUACGGGACGCAGCAGUGGGGGAUAUUGCACAAUGGGGGAAACCCUGAUGCAGCGACGCCGCGUGUGGGAAGACGGUCUUCUGGAUUGUAAACCACUGUCCCCAGGGACGAGAAUGACGGUACCUGGGGAGGAAGCUCCGGCUAACUACGUGCCAGCAGCCGCGGUAAUACGUAGGGAGCAAGCGUUGUCCGGAAUUACUGGGUGUAAAGGGAGCGUAGGCGGGGAUGCAAGUUGGGUGUCAAAACUAUCGGCUCAACCGAUAGUCGCACUCAAAACUGCAGCUCUUGAGUGAAGUAGAGG
This 305-nucleotide ribosomal RNA is filed under the name uncultured bacterium. Its description in RNAcentral is "bacterial SSU rRNA". It matches the Rfam family "Bacterial small subunit ribosomal RNA", at positions 335 to 657 of the family's 1533-position model. The record is from RNAcentral.